CGAUACAGGGUGACAGCCCCGUACACAAAAAUGCACAUACUGUGAGCUCGAUGAGUAGGGCGGGACACGUGGUAUCCUGUCUGAAUAUGGGGGGACCAUCCUCCAAGGCUAAAUACUCCUGACUGACCGAUAGUGAACCAGUACCGUGAGGGAAAGGCGAAAAGAACCCCGGCGAGGGGAGUGAAAAAGAACCUGAAACCGUGUACGUACAAGCAGUGGGAGCACAGAGCAAUCUGUGUGACUGCGUACCUUUUGUAUAAUGGGUCAGCGACUUAUAUUCUGUAGCAAGGUUAACCGAAUAGGGGAGCCGAAGGGAAACCGAGUCUUAACUGGGCGUUAAGUUGCAGGGUAUAGACCCGAAACCCGGUGAUCUAGCCAUGGGCAGGUUGAAGGUUGGGUAACACUAACUGGAGGACCGAACCGACUAAUGUUGAAAAAUUAGCGGAUGACUUGUGGCUGGGGGUGAAAGGCCAAUCAAACCGGGAGAUAGCUGGUUCUCCCCGAAAGCUAUUUAGGUAGCGCCUCGUGAAUUCAUCUCCGGGGGUAGAGCACUGUUUCGGCAAGGGGGUCAUCCCGACUUACCAACCCGAUGCAAACUGCGAAUACCGGAGAAUGUUAUCACGGGAGACACACGGCGGGUGCUAACGUCCGUCGUGAAGAGGGAAACAACCCAGACCGCCAGCUAAGGUCCCAAAGUCAUGGUUAAGUGGGAAACGAUGUGGGAAGGCCCAGACAGCCAGGAUGUUGGCUUAGAAGCAGCCAUCAUUUAAAGAAAGCGUAAUAGCUCACUGGUCGAGUCGGCCUGCGCGGAAGAUGUAACGGGGCUAAACCAUGCAC
This 837-nucleotide ribosomal RNA is filed under the name Escherichia coli. RNAcentral's name for it is "partial 23S ribosomal RNA". It matches the Rfam family "Bacterial large subunit ribosomal RNA", at positions 354 to 1194 of the family's 2925-position model. Lineage: Bacteria; Pseudomonadati; Pseudomonadota; Gammaproteobacteria; Enterobacterales; Enterobacteriaceae. The record is from RNAcentral.